UACCAGCUCUCCGAGUGGUAGGGAUGAUUAUUGGGCUUAAAGCGUCCGUAGCCGGCUUAGCAAGUCUCCUGUUAAACUCAGCGACCUAAUCGUUGAAUCGCGGGAGAUACUACUAGGCUAGGAGGCGGGAGAGGUCGACGGUACUUCUGGGGUAGGGGUGAAAUCCUAUAAUCCCGGGAGGACCACCAGUGGCGAAGGCUGUCGACUAGAACGCGCUCGACGGUGAGGGACGAAAGCUGGGGUAGCGAACCGGAUUAGAUACCCGGGUAGUCCCAGCUGUAAACGAUGCGGGCUAGGUGUUGGGAUGGCUACGGGCCAUUUCAGUGCCGCAGGGAAGCCAUUAAGCCCGCCGCCUGGGGAGUACGGCCGCAAGGCUGAAACUUAAAGGAAUUGGCGGGGGAGCACCACAAGGCGUGAAGCUUGCGGUUC
Molecule: ribosomal RNA, 429 nt
Filed under: uncultured archaeon
Lineage: Archaea
Description: bacterial SSU rRNA
Rfam family: Archaeal small subunit ribosomal RNA
Source: RNAcentral